GAUGAACGCUGACAGAAUGCUUAACACAUGCAAGUCGAUGGGGAAGUGGUGCUUGCACCAUGGUAACCAUGGCGGACGGGUGAGUAACGCGUAAGGAACUUGCCUGCGGGACUGGGAUAACAGCAGGAAACUGCUGACAAGACCGGAUAAGGUCAUUAAGCGGCAUGGUUUAAUGAUGAAAGGAGACGCCUGCGGAGAGCCUUGCGUCCUAUUAGCUAGUUGGAGGGGUAACGGCCCACCAAGGCGAAGAUAGGUAGCCGGCCUGAGAGGGUGGACGGCCACAAGGGGACUGAGAUACGGCCCUUACUCCUACGGGAGGCAGCAGUGGGGAAUAUUGGACAAUGGGGGCAACCCUGAUCCAGCAAUUCUGUGUGCACGAAGACGGUUUUCGGAUUGUAAAGUGCUUUCAGCAGGGAAGAAGGAAGUGACGGUACCUGCAGAAGAAGCGACGGCUAAAUACGUGCCAGCAGCCGCGGUAAUACGUAUGUCGCGAGCGUUAUCCGGAAUUAUUGGGCAUAAAGGGCAUCUAGGCGGCCUUUCAAGUCAGGGGCGAA
This 554-nucleotide ribosomal RNA is filed under the name uncultured Leptotrichia sp. RNAcentral describes it as "bacterial SSU rRNA". It matches the Rfam family "Bacterial small subunit ribosomal RNA", at positions 28 to 598 of the family's 1533-position model. The record is from RNAcentral. Lineage: Bacteria; Fusobacteriati; Fusobacteriota; Fusobacteriia; Fusobacteriales; Leptotrichiaceae.